GUCAAGGGGUGCUCACGGGUGUGGGCUGAGAUAAUACCCUCGAACCUGAUACGGAUAAUGCCGGCGUAGGGAUGAUA
RNAcentral lists this non-coding RNA (77 nucleotides) under uncultured Prevotella sp. RNAcentral describes it as "TPP riboswitch (THI element)". It matches the Rfam family "TPP riboswitch aptamer (THI element)", at positions 8 to 91 of the family's 105-position model. From Rfam's summary of the family: Vitamin B(1) in its active form thiamin pyrophosphate (TPP) is an essential coenzyme that is synthesised by coupling of pyrimidine and thiazole moieties in bacteria. The previously detected thiamin-regulatory element, thi box was extended, resulting in a new, highly conserved RNA secondary structure, the THI element, which is widely distributed in eubacteria and also occurs in some archaea. Analysis of operon structures identified a large number of new candidate thiamin-regulated genes, mostly transporters, in various prokaryotic organisms. Lineage: Bacteria; Pseudomonadati; Bacteroidota; Bacteroidia; Bacteroidales; Prevotellaceae. The record is from RNAcentral.